UACGUAGGGUGCAAGCGUUGUCCGGAAUUAUUGGGCGUAAAGAGCUCGUAGGCGGUUUGUCGCGUCGAAUGUGAAAACCCGGGGCUCAACUCCGGGCCUGCAUUCGAUACGGGCAGACUAGAGUUCGGUAGGGGAGACUGGAAUUCCUGGUGUAGCGGUGAAAUGCGCAGAUAUCAGGAGGAACACCGGUGGCGAAGGCGGCAUUCUGGACCGAAACUGACGCUGAGGCGCGAAAGCCAGGGGAGCAAACGGG
RNAcentral lists this ribosomal RNA (253 nucleotides) under uncultured bacterium. RNAcentral's name for it is "partial 16S ribosomal RNA". It matches the Rfam family "Bacterial small subunit ribosomal RNA", at positions 524 to 776 of the family's 1533-position model. The record is from RNAcentral.